RNAcentral lists this ribosomal RNA (383 nucleotides) under uncultured eukaryote. Its description in RNAcentral is "partial 18S ribosomal RNA". It matches the Rfam family "Eukaryotic small subunit ribosomal RNA", at positions 592 to 976 of the family's 1831-position model. The record is from RNAcentral.
CAAUAGCGUAUAUUAAAGUUGUUGCAGUUAAAAAGCUCGUAGUUGGAUUUCUGGUGGGAGCGAUCGGUCUGGCGCUUAGCGCGAGUACUUGCAUCGUCUCCGGCCAUCCUUGGGGAGAGUCUGUCUGGCAUUAAGUUGUCGGGCAGAGGAUCCUCAUCGUUUACUGUGAAAAAAUUAGAGUGCUCAAAGCAGGCUUAUGCCGUUGAAUAUAUUAGCAUGGAAUAAUAAGAUAGGACUUUGGUACUAUUUUGUUGGUUUGCGCACCAAAGUAAUGAUUAAUAGGGACAGUUGGGGGUAUUCGUAUUCCGUUGUCAGAGGUGAAAUUCUUGGAUUUACGGAAGACGAACUACUGCGAAAGCAUUUACCAAGGAUGUUUUCAUUAA